UUCAUUUUGACUGUCUGGAUCUGGAUGACGAAUCGUAGGUUCAACACUACAAAACCAACCGAACACAUGCAGACGAAAAAACUUGUAUCCACUAAGUUUAGCCUGGUGUGUUAUAUGAAGACACUGCAAACGUCUAAAGUGUUAAAGAGUACGAUCUCCAGAAAACAAAGCAGGAACACAGAGAGGAUCGGGUUCGUCUGGAUUUACCUUGGGUGGUAAAGCAGCGUCAUGGGCCGCCUGCAGGACAGCCACGGGGUCGGCGUCCACCUUCACCUGGGGCGAGAUGGGGUUUAUCAGCUAGAUCAGAUGCCAUUUUCAAGGUGUCACAGGUGUACCAGGGACGGAAUCUUUUUCACUCCUCUGGACAGCUGCUUAAGGACUGCACGAGCUUCCCCGGCACUUUCGGUUUCACCUGGAGCCAGCCGUCCCGACCCAGCCACUGCAUUUGACUGCUGUCUGCACCUAAGGAGGACUGGGCGGGGCCGUCUGGCUGUCUGCAACUACAAACGAGUCGGUGAAGAGCCUGUGAGAGCCGCUGUCCACGGCAUUCCGCUUCACCACCCUGUUGACGCCAGCCGAGCGCCUACAUGCCAGCUGGGCACCGCUUCCGGACCUGCACAUGCACAUCCUCACUCUUUCCCUCCCACGCUUUCCCAAUUAAACUAUC
Clarias gariepinus (North African catfish) is the source of this 667-nucleotide long non-coding RNA. RefSeq lists it as uncharacterized. The transcript is spliced from 3 exons. The record is from RefSeq and is a predicted model, not a curated record. Lineage: Eukaryota; Metazoa; Chordata; Actinopteri; Siluriformes; Clariidae.